GCCCCUUUAGCUCAGUUGGUAGAGCGCGGCACUAGUAUCUGUUACAGCAGGUAAUGCCGAGGUCGAUAGUUCAACUCUGUCAGGGGGCA
This 89-nucleotide transfer RNA is filed under the name Trichodelitschia bisporula. It matches the Rfam family "tRNA". Rfam says of the family: Transfer RNA (tRNA) molecules are approximately 80 nucleotides in length. The record is from Rfam by way of RNAcentral. Lineage: Eukaryota; Fungi; Ascomycota; Dothideomycetes; Phaeotrichales; Phaeotrichaceae.